GUGCACCACCGUACCCGGCUAAUUUUUUUUGUAUUUUUUGUAGUAGAGACGGGGUUUCACCAUGUUGGCCAGGCUGGUCUCGAACUCCUGACCUCAGGUGAUCUGCCUGCCUCAGCCUCCCAAAGUGCUGGUGUGGGCCACUGUGCCCGGCCUGAACUUAUAUUUUAAAAUUGAGCAAUGCAACCUAAAAAUCCAGAUUUCCAGCUUCUUUUGAAAACUGGCAGAUUAAAGCAGCCCUGGGCCCACUUCCUGCCCACUCUUGGUGCUAAGAGCCCCCUGGACAGCCCCUGCCCCACUGACAAGGGGUACAUCACACCUGCUUUGUGUUUCUUAGUGCGGAGAAGGAAAUCUAUCAAAAGUGAGACUGAAAGCAGCUGGCCUAGCCUGUCAGUUACAUGCUCAGCCAGGACACGUCUGAGUUUGAGGUCCCUGGUGUAGGGGAAGUGCUCUGUAGCCUCAAAGCACAAAUGUGGGGCGCAUUACACAGGCUGCCCAGUGGGAACUGUGUGCCCUGGUGGAGGAGGGGAAUCAAAGGACAGAAGGGGAGUGGGAAGGAAGAACUGUGGUCACAGAGGGGCCACACAGCCCCAAAUUUCUUAGUGGCCCCACCUGCCUCUGCUCUCAGGCUGGUUCCUUGGUAGCCCUGUAGAUUCUGGGCCUGUGAGUGAACCAGCCCCUCUUCCACCUGGAAUGCCUCCCAGCUGUCCCUUGUCUCACUUCUUCCAACGGGGCCUCUCAGACCCACCCUCUUCUCUGCCACCUGGGUUCCUGCUGACAGACCCACUCAAUAGCAACGGAUCAUGUGUCCUGGGGCAUCUCUUAUACUGUCAUCUCGUAUCACAAAUUGUCAUAGGUGUGCAAGUUUCUUAUCUCUCCAACUAGCUGAGAGCUCCUCCGGUUCUGGGACUGCAUCUCCCACUUUGCUGUGCAGCCCAGCACUGUGCUCUGCAUUCAACAGGGACUCAGGAUUCCCCAUAUGUAUUGGAAAAUGGAUUGAAUGGAGCGAUAAAGUGAGGUCUUAACUCUAUUUCCCAAAACAGGGUCCUCUGCAUACAGUGGGAUCCACAGUCCCCAGUGUGUGCUGAAUGACUGAGUCAGGAGGGAGAGGAUGAGAAUACAAGGGCAGCGGCUGUGAC
RNAcentral lists this long non-coding RNA (1136 nucleotides) under Homo sapiens (human). Its description in RNAcentral is "HSALNT0054772". The record is from RNAcentral. Lineage: Eukaryota; Metazoa; Chordata; Mammalia; Primates; Hominidae.